This 319-nucleotide ribosomal RNA is filed under the name Escherichia coli. RNAcentral describes it as "bacterial SSU rRNA". It matches the Rfam family "Bacterial small subunit ribosomal RNA", at positions 1 to 316 of the family's 1533-position model. Lineage: Bacteria; Pseudomonadati; Pseudomonadota; Gammaproteobacteria; Enterobacterales; Enterobacteriaceae. RNAcentral also lists the same sequence under 1 other name. The record is from RNAcentral.
AAAUUGAAGAGUUUGAUCAUGGCUCAGAUUGAACGCUGGCGGCAGGCCUAACACAUGCAAGUCGAACGGUAACAGGAAGCAGCUUGCUGCUUCGCUGACGAGUGGCGGACGGGUGAGUAAUGUCUGGGAAACUGCCUGAUGGAGGGGGAUAACUACUGGAAACGGUAGCUAAUACCGCAUAACGUCGCAAGACCAAAGAGGGGGACCUUCGGGCCUCUUGCCAUCGGAUGUGCCCAGAUGGGAUUAGCUUGUUGGUGGGGUAACGGCUCACCAAGGCGACGAUCCCUAGCUGGUCUGAGAGGAUGACCAGCCACACUGG